GAAUAUUGCACAAUGGGCGAAAGCCUGAUGCAGCGACGCCGCGUGAGGGAUGACGGCCUUCGGGUUGUAAACCUCUUUCAGCAGGGACGAAUUUGACGGUACCUGCAGAAGAAGCGCCGGCCAACUACGUGCCAGCAGCCGCGGUAAGACGUAGGGCGCGAGCGUUGUCCGGAUUUAUUGGGCGUAAAGAGCUCGUAGGCGGCUUGUCGCGUCGACUGUGAAAACCUGUGGCUCAACUAUGGGUCUGCAGUCGAUACGGGCUAGCUAGAAUUCGGUAGGGGAGACUGGAAUUCCUGGUGUAGCGGUGAAAUGCGCAGAUAUCAGGAGGAACACCGGUGGCGAAGGCGGGUCUCUGGGCCGAUAUUGACGCUGAGGAGCGAAAGCGUGGGGAGCGAACAG
This 399-nucleotide ribosomal RNA is filed under the name uncultured bacterium. RNAcentral's name for it is "bacterial SSU rRNA". It matches the Rfam family "Bacterial small subunit ribosomal RNA", at positions 359 to 775 of the family's 1533-position model. The record is from RNAcentral.